UACGCAGGGGGCGAGCGUUGUUCGGAUUUACUGGGCGUAAAGGGCGCGCAGGCGGCUCAUUUUGUCAGGCGUGAAAGCCCCGGGCUUAACCUGGGAACUGCGUUUGAUACGGAUGGGCUAGAGUUCGGGAGAGGAGAGUGGAAUUCCCAGUGUAGAGGUGAAAUUCGUAGAUAUUGGGAAGAACACCGGUGGCGAAGGCGGCUCUCUGGACCGAUACUGACGCUGAGGCGCGAAAGCGUGGGGAGCAAACAGG
RNAcentral lists this ribosomal RNA (253 nucleotides) under uncultured bacterium. Its description in RNAcentral is "partial 16S ribosomal RNA". It matches the Rfam family "Bacterial small subunit ribosomal RNA", at positions 524 to 776 of the family's 1533-position model. The record is from RNAcentral.